RNAcentral lists this ribosomal RNA (672 nucleotides) under uncultured bacterium. RNAcentral's name for it is "bacterial SSU rRNA". It matches the Rfam family "Bacterial small subunit ribosomal RNA", at positions 60 to 765 of the family's 1533-position model. The record is from RNAcentral.
AGUCGCACGAGAAGGGUAGCAAUACCUGAGUACAGUGGCGCACGGGUGAGUAACACGUGAAUCAUCUACCUUCGAGUGGGGAAUAACUGGGAGAAAUCUCAGCUAAUACCGCAUAAUACCCACGGGUCAAAGCAGCAAUGCGCUUGAAGAGGAGUUCGCGGCAGAUUAGUUAGUUGGCGGGGUAAUGGCCCACCAAGACGAUGAUCUGUAUCCGGCCUGAGAGGGCGCACGGACACACUGGAACUGAAACACGGUCCAGACUCCUACGGGAGGCAGCAGUGGGGAAUUUUGCGCAAUGGGGGAAACCCUGACGCAGCAACGCCGCGUGGAGGAUGAAAUCCCUUGGGAUGUAAACUCCUUUCGAUCGGGACGAUUAUGACGGUACCGGAAGAAGAAGCCCCGGCUAACUUCGUGCCAGCAGCCGCGGUAAUACGAGGGGGGCAAGCGUUGUUCGGAAUUAUUGGGCGUAAAGGGCGCGUAGGCGGUUUGACAAGUCUGAUGUGAAAUCUAUGGGCUCAACCCAUAGCCUGCAUUAGAAACUGUCGGGCUUGAGUAUGGGAGAGGUGAGUAGAAUUUCCGGUGUAGCGGUGAAAUGCGUAGAUAUCGGAAGGAACACCUGUGGCGAAAGCGGCUCACUGGACCAUAACUGACGCUGAGGCGCGAAAGCUAGGG